GUAGCCAUGGACGCUUUGGAUCGAGUUAUAAAGCCCAAAACGAAAAGAACCAAGAGAUUCCUUGAGAAGAGAGAACCGAAACUCAGUGAAAAUAUUAAAAAUGCUAUGCUGAUUAAAGGGGGAAAUGCAAAUUCAAUGGUGACACAAGUACUUAAAGAUGUGUAUGCACUGAAAAAACCGUAUGGAGUUCUGUAUAAAAAGAAAAACAUUACAAGACCAUUUGAGGAUCAGACAUCGUUGGAAUUCUUUUCAAAGAAGUCAGAUUGUUCUUUAUUUAUGUUUGGCUCCCAUAAUAAGAAGCGGCCAAAUAAUCUAGUAAUAGGUCGUAUGUAUGACUACCAUGUGCUGGAUAUGAUUGAAUUGGGUAUCGAGAAGUUUGUCUCUCUAAAAGAUAUUAAGAUUUCUUCAGAGGCCCCACGGUACCAAAUAUCCGCCUGGCUGGUUUAGAGUAUGUUCUGCACUUCACUGCAUUGAAUGGCAAGAUUUACUUUCUAAGCUAUAAGUUGCUGUUGAAGAAAUCUGGUUGUAGAACACCAAGGAUUGAAUUGGAAGAGAUGGGUCCCUCAUUGGAUCUGGUUCUGAGGAGGACACGUCUGGCAUCAGAUGAUCUUUAUAAAUUAUCUAUGAAAAUGCCAAAAGCGCUCAAGCCAAAGAAGAAGAAAAAUGUCUCCCAUGAUACUUUUGGUACAACUUAUGGAAGGAUUCAUAUGCAGAAGCAAGACCUAAGCAAACUACAAACCAGGAAAAUGAAGGGUUUGAAGAAGCGACCUGCAGAAAGGAUAACAGAAGACCAAGAGAAAAAAUCAAAGAGAAUUAAAAAAAACUGAUGGAACUUAGCCAGUGACUAUAAUGUUAUUGUAGUCUGUUUACUUAAGAGAAUUAUCAAUCAUCAGUCAUUUCUAAGUUUCUUAAAGAUUUUAUUAAAUAUUUUUGUAGUGUGGUAA
Leptonychotes weddellii (Weddell seal) is the source of this 944-nucleotide non-coding RNA. Lineage: Eukaryota; Metazoa; Chordata; Mammalia; Carnivora; Phocidae. The record is from RefSeq and is a predicted model, not a curated record.